Molecule: ribosomal RNA, 756 nt
Filed under: uncultured bacterium
Lineage: Bacteria
Description: bacterial SSU rRNA
Rfam family: Bacterial small subunit ribosomal RNA
Source: RNAcentral
AGAGUUUGAUCAUGGCUCAGAAUCAACGCUGGCGGCGUGCCUAACACAUGCAAGUCGAACGAGAAAGUGGAGCAAUCCAUGAGUAAAGUGGCGCACGGGUGAGUAACACGUGACUAACCUACCCUUGAGUGGGGGAUAACUGAGGGAAACCUUAGCUAAUACCGCAUAAUACCUACGGGUCAAAGGAGCAAUUCGCUCGAGGAGGGGGUCGCGGCCGAUUAGUUAGUUGGCGGGGUAACGGCCCACCAAGACGAUGAUCGGUAUCCGGCCUGAGAGGGCGCACGGACACACUGGAACUGAAACACGGUCCAGACUCCUACGGGAGGCAGCAGUGGGGAAUUUUGCGCAAUGGGGGAAACCCUGACGCAGCAACGCCGCGUGGAGGAUGAAGUCCUUCGGGACGUAAACUCCUUUCGAUCGGGACGAUUAUGACGGUACCGGAAGAAGAAGCCCCGGCUAACUUCGUGCCAGCAGCCGCGGUAAUACGAGGGGGGCGAGCGUUGUUCGGAAUUAUUGGACGUAAAGGGUGCGUAGGCGGUUUGGUAAGUCUUGUGUGAAAUCUACAGGCUCAACUUGUAGUCUGCACGAGAAACUGCCGGGCUUGAGUAUGGGAGAGGUGAGUGGAAUUCCUGGUGUAGCGGUGAAAUGCGUAGAUAUCAGGAGGAACACCUGUGGCGAAAGCGGCUCACUGGACCAUAACUGACGCUGAUGCACGAAAGCUAGGGGAGCAAACAGGAUUAGAUACCCUAGUAGUCC